GGCGACGAUGGGGAUGGGGCUCCCCCGAUAACCGCCUGAGAAGGCUGAUGGCUCCUGCCAAGAC
Molecule: non-coding RNA, 64 nt
Organism: Stenotrophomonas maltophilia R551-3
Lineage: Bacteria; Pseudomonadati; Pseudomonadota; Gammaproteobacteria; Lysobacterales; Lysobacteraceae
Source: Rfam